This 441-nucleotide ribosomal RNA is filed under the name uncultured bacterium. RNAcentral describes it as "bacterial SSU rRNA". It matches the Rfam family "Bacterial small subunit ribosomal RNA", at positions 404 to 842 of the family's 1533-position model. The record is from RNAcentral.
AGGGAAGACGGCCCUAUGGGUUGUAAACCUCUUUUGUCGGAGAACAAAACCCGGGACGAGUCCCGGACUGCGUGUAUCCGAAGAAAAAGCAUCGGCUAACUCCGUGCCAGCAGCCGCGGUAAUACGGAGGAUGCGAGCGUUAUCCGGAUUUAUUGGGUUUAAAGGGUGCGUAGGCGGUCCGUUAAGUCAGCGGUAAAAUUGCGGGGCUCAACCCCGUCGAGCCGUUGAAACUGGCAGACUUGAGUUGGCGAGAAGUACGCGGAAUGCGCGGUGUAGCGGUGAAAUGCAUAGAUAUCGCGCAGAACUCCGAUUGCGAAGGCAGCGUACCGGCGCCAGACUGACGCUGAGGCACGAAAGCGUGGGGAUCGAACAGGAUUAGAUACCCUGGUAGUCCACGCAGUAAACGAUGAAUGCUGGUUGUCCGGGUCGAAUGAGAUCUGG